GACGAACGCUGGCGGCGUGCCUAAUACAUGCAAGUCGAGCGAAGUUUUUCUGGUGCUUGCACUAGAAAAACUUAGCGGCGAACGGGUGAGUAACACGUAAAGAACCUGCCUCAUAGACUGGGACAACUAUUGGAAACGAUAGCUAAUACCGGAUAACAGUAUUUCUCGCAUGAGAGAUAUUUAAAAGUUGGUUAUGCUAACACUAUGAGAUGGCUUUGCGGUGCAUUAGCUAGUUGGUGGGGUAAAGGCCUACCAAGGCGACGAUGCAUAGCCGACCUGAGAGGGUGAUCGGCCACACUGGGACUGAGACACGGCCCAGACUCCUACGGGAGGCAGCAGUAGGGAAUCUUCCGCAAUGGGCGAAAGCCUGACGGAGCAACGCCGCGUGAGUGAAGAAGGAUUUCGGUUCGUAAAGCUCUGUUGUUAGGGAAGAAUGGAUAUGUAGUAACUAUACAUGUAAGAGACGGUACCUAACCAGAAAGCCACGGCUAACUACGUGCCAGCCGCCGCCGUAACAC
RNAcentral lists this ribosomal RNA (518 nucleotides) under uncultured bacterium. Its description in RNAcentral is "bacterial SSU rRNA". It matches the Rfam family "Bacterial small subunit ribosomal RNA", at positions 28 to 526 of the family's 1533-position model. The record is from RNAcentral.